AGUCAAGAGUCUUUGACACCGAUUUGGUGAGCGGAUUUCUUUUGCCUGAAGAAAGGUAAGAGAGAAAUG
Molecule: non-coding RNA, 69 nt
Organism: Rhizobium mesoamericanum STM3625
Lineage: Bacteria; Pseudomonadati; Pseudomonadota; Alphaproteobacteria; Hyphomicrobiales; Rhizobiaceae
Source: Rfam